GACAUCCAAAGUUAACUUUUUGCCUCAUUCCUUUGAUCAUGUAUCCCAUGCUUAAAAUCAGGGUGAUUCUCUUCCAAGAUUUUUUCAACAAUAAUAGGGAAAAUAUUUAUGUUUGCAUUAACUUCAUCAGAAUCAACGUGAUUUACCUCUGGUCUGUUAGGUGUAUCGGUUGGACCCUGUCGGAGCCAUGGUGAAGCUGUGAGAAAAUUCCUUCCUUUUUGUGGUGCUCUCAUGAACAGCCCGUAGGGCUUUAUGAUUGCUUCUAGAGGUGUAUCGUAGAGUUUAUCGCAAAUAGUUUCGGAGUGGCCCAUAAUGUCACAAAUGAAGCAAAAGGUCGGAACUCGCUCAUAUUUGAAAUUUGCCCAAAAAGCAACACCAUCACAUUUUUUAAACUUCAUUCUUCUUUUCAGUAGAGCAUUUAGGAGAACGGACACCCGAACUCUGAGAGAAUCACGCCACAUAUUUGGUUCCCAUUUAAGGAAAGCACCUAUGUAGUUACUUACUUUUUGAACUACUUGCUCAGUCUUGAAUCUUGCUUGGAGAUCGUGUAUCUAAACCCACAUAUCAAGGGUACGAAGCUCGAUUAGCUUUGGGUUGUCCUCUAUUUUCAGUCGUUUGAUUAUUUAUUGUUUACGAUCAUACGUGGAUGGCCUGCCAUUGAUAACACGUUUAAUGUCUAUUUCGUGGUAGAACUGAAACAAGAAUCUAUUUUGCUUAAGGAUCUUAAUUGUCAUUCCCUUGUCGGGCUUCCAAAGGUCAGAAGCGUUUUCCUUUGUGAUAUCAAGAACCUCUUCGCUAUCCUCUUCUUCCUCCAAACAUAUAUUAUUCUAUCUAUUUUUAAUGUCUGCUAGAAGCCAUGCAUGAACCAGGAAAGGACGAAAUCAGAAUAGAUCAGACAGAAAUAAAAACACUCAGACUCGCUCUAAAACAUAGAGACUAAUCACAUGUCAAAAGGCACGACUUCUCUCAGCUUAUGUUUGUAAACCACUCAGAUUUAGUGUUGUAAAUACUGGCUAAACUUUUUGAUUAGGCACGACCACUGCUUUUUUUUUUUUUUUUUUUUUUUAAAUUGUUCUUAUAAUUCAUGUUUAAGAAAAGAUUUUUUUUUUCCUUCCGCUGUAAAUUUAUAACGUAAGUCUAUUUCUCUAUUCUUUUCUCCACUUUUGAGAUGCGAAAGUCGGGAUGUGGAAAUCUGGGUAGUGGCUCGAUGGCAACGACAUCAUAACUGGGCGUGCUGAUGGAGACGACCUUACGAGCGGAUCUAGACAGCGAUGAUGUUGCAAACGAAUCUGGCAUGUUGACGACUUAUGAACGGGAGUUCUUAGAGCAUUGCAUUUGUGAUAUAUCAGAGAGGCAUCGUCUCCCUCUCCUUUGUCGUCUUAGCCCUCUGUUAUUGGGGAAGCAUUGUGCCUUUGAUGGUUUUAGGGUUGAAGAUUCCAGAAAAGAUGGUUUAAGUUAUGGUGGAUCGAUAUAGUGGCGGCAUUGGAGAAUAUCAUGAUGUCUCAAAUGAUCUUGAUAACAUUUUAGCAUCAAUAAAGAAUCUUGACAUUAGUUCAGAAAAUAUUAGAGCUUUUCUGCCCAAGGUUAAUUGAGAGUAGCCAUGUAGCAGGAGGGUGUGGUGCAGAAUGUGAAGCAAGGUGCCACGAGUGUCUUUGAUCAUAUUGAAGAUAGUAAGACCAUAUUAUAGAUGCUCGCCGGCUAAUAGGUAUAUUGUAAGUACCACUCUUCUUUGUAAGAACUCCACAAGCACGCAAAUAGUAAAUUAAAAAUAAAAUAUGGUCCUCACGUUGAUGUUUCCUCACUAAUAUGAUAUGUCCCUUUUAUUAGUUAUUAACUACUAUUUUUUGUUAUCAGCUUGUUAUCAGUGCAAGCUAUAUACACAGUCAGCAAAAAAUGUUUUCAACUUUUAGUUUGAUUGUUGCGGAUUGCAAAGCUCUACUCUCUACAUUACUUAAUGUUCAGUUACUGUUUAUUAAACAAUCAGCGAAUCGGGUGGCACAUUACGUUGCUAGAAACUCCUGUUUCAAUACUGGUUGUAGCAUUUCUGUUUUUUAUGUUACAGAAGACUUAAAAAAUCUUAUGUAUUUGGAAUGCUAACUAUUUUAAUGAAGUUGAUAUUUUAUUUCAAAAAAAAAGAAAAA
Molecule: long non-coding RNA, 2141 nt
Organism: Cannabis sativa
Lineage: Eukaryota; Viridiplantae; Streptophyta; Magnoliopsida; Rosales; Cannabaceae
Exons: 3
Source: RefSeq, a predicted model, not a curated record